GAUGAAGAACCGUAGCGAAAUGCGAUAAGUAGUGUGAAUUGCAGAAUUCAGUGAAUCAUCGAAUCUUUGAACGCACAUUGCGCCCUUUGGUAUUCCUUAGGGCAUGCCUGUUCGAGCGUCAUUUAAACCCUUCAAGCUCAGCUUGGUGUUGGGUGACUGUCCGCCGCCCCCGGGCGCGGACUCGCCCCAAAUUCAUUGGCGGCCGGUACGUAGGCUUCGAGCGCAGCAGAAACGCGAACUCGGGCCCGCGGUGUCGGCUCCCAGAAGCCAUCUCUUUUAUUUUGACCUCGGAUCAGGUAGGGAUACCCGCUGAACUUAAGCAUAUCAAUAAGCGGAGGA
Molecule: unclassified non-coding RNA, 339 nt
Filed under: soil metagenome
Description: partial contains 5.8S ribosomal RNA, internal transcribed spacer 2, and large subunit ribosomal RNA
Rfam family: 5.8S ribosomal RNA (bases 1-121)
Source: RNAcentral